AGUCAUUUUUUCAACUACGGUGAUAUUGAUAACAUGUAUCGUUUUUCUUUAAGGAACCUAUAAUCAUUACAUGUUAAGAUAUAAGAUAUCUCCAACAGACCACGGGACUUCGGUUUUUGAAUUAUCACCCCAAAAAGACCCGGAACUAUCACAUCUAAACGCCACAAGCUUGUCGAAGAAAGGUUACUACUUAUCUUUACGUCUUAGGAUUGAGCCACGACCUCUCGGUUACGAAACGAUCGCUCUAACCACAGUGUACGGCUCAUCAAUGAUAUAAAGUCUUUGUAGACAAACCCCAGCUGUUUCAUUGAACUGCACGUCUAAUGCUGUGAUUUGAAUUGGUGAUCCAUUGGUUGUUUGCACUGCACAUGUAGCACCGGAAGUAGCUGAACAUUCAGACAUUGUUGAUGGAUAACUUUCGCUAGAGAGGAAGACUGUAUUUGCUGUCAGUAAUGAUGCCGAAUUGAUAGUUAUUGUUGAGGCAUCUGCACAAUAAUUAUGAUAUGAAUUACAUAUACUACAUAAACGAAUAAACCAGCCAUAUUUCAAAUCAA
Long non-coding RNA from Ostrea edulis (European flat oyster), 554 nucleotides. RefSeq lists it as uncharacterized. The record is from RefSeq and is a predicted model, not a curated record. The transcript has 2 exons. Lineage: Eukaryota; Metazoa; Mollusca; Bivalvia; Ostreida; Ostreidae.